CGGGGCAGGUUCUGGAGAGGGUUUCUUAGGCUGUAGAGAGUGGAAGAGCCUUAGUUAGGUCAGGAGAUGCUUCAUAGUCCAGCCCCAGUU
This 90-nucleotide microRNA precursor is filed under the name Eptesicus fuscus (big brown bat). RNAcentral's name for it is "microRNA efu-mir-9271 precursor". Lineage: Eukaryota; Metazoa; Chordata; Mammalia; Chiroptera; Vespertilionidae. The record is from miRBase by way of RNAcentral.